AGAUUUAAUAUAUAAAAUUUAGGUUCUCUAAAAAAACUCAAGGAAUUGUGUUGCCUCAGCUUAUUUUAUACAAGUAGUUUGAACAAACAUCAAAUGCCAUUUUUUGAGUGAACAGGAAGACGCUUCACCUGCAAACUUUACACAUACACUGCCAAUGCAGUCUCACAAACGAGCUGUUUGUCCAUCAGCAGCUCAAACCACAUCUCUGAUGAAAACAAACCACAACAGGUUUCAGUUUGAGUUCAGUUGUCAAUGUCUCUAAAACUGGCACUGAAGAUUAUGGGUUUAACUGUGUACUUUGUUUUUCCUUUUACUAAAACUAGGAACUGAAUACACUAUUUUAAAACACUGGGUUGUACUAUUGGUUUUGGAAUGAAAUGUUGUUAAUUCAUAAUUCACACAAUAGUAUCAUACUCUGAGCAAUUUGACACAGCUAAGCACUGAACUGCCUUUCCAAAACAUAUGCUAGAUAUUAAAAAAUAAAGAAUAUUUGUAACUUAAGAAGAGUUCAAAUCAUAACGAAGACCAAAAAAAAAAAAUUGAAACAAACAAAAAAUAACAACUUCUAACGUGUAACAAACAGGGAGGGUCAAUCCCUCUUGUGGGAGGAGUCACAUGAGUUUAGUUCAGAUGAUUUUCAGUCUUGUUUAAACUGGUUGAAAGCAAGAUGUUGUUUCACGUUUUUGCUUUGUUCUGUUUGUGCUGGAAGACCUUGUUCGGUGUGUUUAGUGAGAUCGUGUCAGUGACGGAAGGAGAUUCUGUUACUUUAAACUUUAAUGCUGUGCAUGAAGGUGACCACAUACUGUGGAAAUAUGGGGCUGAAAACACCCUCAUUGCUAAAAUCAACAUAAAGCAGCAAGACUUCUUUACAUUUGAUGAUGUUCUUGAUGGGAGAUUCAGAAACAGACUGAAACUGGAUCAUCAAACUGGAUCUCUGACCAUUACAAACAUCAGAUCCGAGCAUGCUGGCAUUUAUGAACUAGAAAUAAUCGGAUCAAAACUGACAAUAGAAAAAUUUAGUAUUUCUGUCUAUGCUCGUUUGCCUGUUCCUGUCACCAUCAGAGACUGUUCUUCCUCCUCCUCUUCAUUGUCCCAGUAUAAUUGUUCAGUGUUGUGUUCAGUGGUGAAUGUGAGUGCUGUGAGUCUCUCCUGGUACAAAGGAAACAGUGUAUUGUCCAGCAUCAGUGUGUCUGAUCUCAGCAUCAGUCUCUCUCUACCUCUGGAGGUGGAAUAUCAGGAUGAAAACACCUACAGCUGUGUGAUCAACAACACCAUCAGCAACCAGACCACACAUCUGGACAUCAACACACUCUGUCAGCUGUGUCCAGAUGAGGAUCUACAUUGGUUUUACAUCGUGUGGAUGUGUGCUGUUGUUGGAUCUCUGAUGAUUUUAGUGUCUGCCGUGAUGUGCUGCAUCUCCAAGAAACGUAGAAAAACAGUUUAUAAUCAAGAAGAAGACCAAUCGGAUUCAACAUCGUGCAAACAAAAAUCACAAAAAACGGUGUGUUUGCUAAGAAACUAAAAGUGUCUGUGUCAGUGACUGAAGGAGAUUCUGUUACUCUAAACUCUGGUGUUACUAUAAUACAUUGGGAGAACAUGCUGUGGAGUUUUGGAGCCGAAAACACUCUUAUAGCUAAAAUCAACAUUAAGGAGCAAAUCUUCUCCACAUUUGAUGGCACUGACAGAUUCAGAGACAGACUUAAGAUGGACAGACAGACUGGAUCUCUGACCAUCACAAACAUCACAUCUGAAAAUGCGGGAAUUUAUAAUCUUGAUAUAAGCGGGAAAAAAUGGACAUCAAAAAUAUUCAAUGUUUCUGUUCAUGGCGAGUAAAGUUCUUUAAUCCUUCACAAAUUCUUCAACAAUUUACACUCAAACUCUGUACUGAAAAUCUCUAUUCUCAUGUU
This is a non-coding RNA of Danio rerio (zebrafish), 1907 nucleotides long. The record is from RefSeq and is a predicted model, not a curated record. Lineage: Eukaryota; Metazoa; Chordata; Actinopteri; Cypriniformes; Danionidae.